RNAcentral lists this ribosomal RNA (520 nucleotides) under Pichia manshurica. Its description in RNAcentral is "partial large subunit ribosomal RNA". It matches the Rfam family "Eukaryotic large subunit ribosomal RNA", at positions 110 to 656 of the family's 3401-position model. The record is from RNAcentral. Lineage: Eukaryota; Fungi; Ascomycota; Pichiomycetes; Pichiales; Pichiaceae.
CAGAUUUGAAAUCGUGUUUCGGCACGAGUUGUAGAGUGUAGGCGGGAGUCUCUGUGGAGCGCGGUGUCCAAGUCCCUUGGAACAGGGUGCCUGAGAGGGUGAGAGCCCCGUAGGGUGCUGCGCGAAGCUUUUGAGGCCCUGCUGACGAGUCGAGUUGUUUGGGAAUGCAGCUCCAAGCGGGUGGUAAAUUCCAUCUAAGGCUAAAUAUUGGCGAGAGACCGAUAGCGAACAAGUACUGUGAAGGAAAGAUGAAAAGCACUUUGAAAAGAGAGUGAAACAGCACGUGAAAUUGUUGAAAGGGAAGGGUAUUGGGCUCGACAUGGGGGGUGCGCACCGCUGUCUCUUGUAGGCGGCGCUCUGGGCGCCCUCUGGGCCAGCAUCGGUUCCUGCUGCGGGAGAAGGGGCUCCGGAAAGUGGCUCUUCGGAGUGUUAUAGCCGGGGCCAGAUGCCGCGUGUGGGGACCGAGGACUGCGGCUUCUGUCUCGGAUGCUGGCAUAACGGCGCAAUACCGCCCGUCUUG